GGUUAAGCGACUAAGCGUACACGGUGGAUGCCCUGGCAGUCAGAGGCGAUGAAGGGCGUGCUAAUCUGCGAUAAGCGCCGGUAAGGUGAUAUGAACCGUUAUAACCGGCGAUACCCGAAUGGGGAAACCCAGUGUGACUCGUCACACUAUCAUUAACUGAAUCCAUAGGUUAAUGAGGCGAACCGGGGGAACUGAAACAUCUAAGUACCCCGAGG
This 215-nucleotide ribosomal RNA is filed under the name Salmonella enterica subsp. enterica serovar Infantis. RNAcentral's name for it is "partial 23S ribosomal RNA". It matches the Rfam family "Bacterial large subunit ribosomal RNA", at positions 1 to 216 of the family's 2925-position model. RNAcentral also lists the same sequence under 43 other names. Lineage: Bacteria; Pseudomonadati; Pseudomonadota; Gammaproteobacteria; Enterobacterales; Enterobacteriaceae. The record is from RNAcentral.